This 187-nucleotide ribosomal RNA is filed under the name Fusarium verticillioides. RNAcentral describes it as "partial 18S ribosomal RNA". It matches the Rfam family "Eukaryotic small subunit ribosomal RNA", at positions 1647 to 1831 of the family's 1831-position model. The record is from RNAcentral. Lineage: Eukaryota; Fungi; Ascomycota; Sordariomycetes; Hypocreales; Nectriaceae.
ACGUCCCUGCCCUUUGUACACACCGCCCGUCGCUACUACCGAUUGAAUGGCUCAGUGAGGCGUCCGGACUGGCCCAGAGAGGUGGGCAACUACCACUCAGGGCCGGAAAGCUCUCCAAACUCGGUCAUUUAGAGGAAGUAAAAGUCGUAACAAGGUCUCCGUUGGUGAACCAGCGGAGGGAUCAUUA